RNAcentral lists this unclassified non-coding RNA (380 nucleotides) under uncultured Gemmatimonadaceae bacterium. RNAcentral describes it as "contains 16S-23S intergenic spacer region". Lineage: Bacteria; Pseudomonadati; Gemmatimonadota; Gemmatimonadia; Gemmatimonadales; Gemmatimonadaceae. The record is from RNAcentral.
UCCGGUUUGGCACCGGCAGUCUCCCAUGAGUCCCCGACAUAACUCGCUGGCAACAUGGAACAGGGGUUGCGCUCGUUGCGGGACCUAACCCAACAUCUCACGACACGAGCUGACGACAGCCAUGCAGCACCUGUGCAGGAGUCCCGAAGGACACCCCGGGUUUCCCCAGGAUUUCCCCUGCAUGUCAAGCCCUGGUAAGGUUCUUCGCGUUGCGUCGAAUUAAACCACAUGCUCCACCGCUUGUGCGGGCCCCCGUCAAUUCCUUUGAGUUUCAGCCUUGCGGCCGUACUCCCCAGGCGGGGCACUUAAUGCGUUAGCUGCGGCACCCAGGGGGUCAAUACCCCGGACACCUAGUGCCCAUCGUUUACAGCGUGGACUAC